UAGGGAAUCUUCCACAAUGGACGAAAGUCUGAUGGAGCAACGCCGCGUGAACGAUGAAGGCUUUCGGGUCGUAAAGUUCUGUUGUAAGGGAAGAACAAGUGCCGCAGGCAAUGGCGGCACCUUGACGGUACCUUGCGAGAAAGCCACGGCUAACUACGUGCCAGCAGCCGCGGUAAUACGUAGGUGGCAAGCGUUGUCCGGAAUUAUUGGGCGUAAAGCGCGCGCAGGCGGCCUCUUAAGUCUGAUGUGAAAGCCCCCGGCUCAACCGGGGAGGGCCAUUGGAAACUGGGAGGCUUGAGUAUAGGAGAGAAGAGUGGAAUUCCACGUGUAGCGGUGAAAUGCGUAGAGAUGUGGAGGAACACCAGUGGCGAAGGCGACUCUUUGGCCUAUAACUGACGCUGAGGCGCGAAAGCGUGGGGAGCAAACAGGAUUAGAUACCCUGGUA
Molecule: ribosomal RNA, 445 nt
Filed under: uncultured bacterium
Lineage: Bacteria
Description: bacterial SSU rRNA
Rfam family: Bacterial small subunit ribosomal RNA
Source: RNAcentral